CCUCAGUGUGGGCCCCUGCCUCCGGUGGUCCCGCACCCGGUGCUUCACCAUCGCAUGACAUGCUAGCGAGGCGCGGAUGCCCCCGGAGGUGGCCUUAAAGGAGGUUGCUGGCCCCAGGGGAAAGAACCACUAAGUGAAGCACAAGCCAAACCAAACCCUGCAGGUCAGGCCAUUUCUGUGCAAACUCAGUGAGUUCAUAAACACGGAGACCUAUUCACAUGGAAAACCCUGAAGGCAAAAGAACUGAGUGUGUGUGGAGUGCCUGCCCUCUGGUCUCUGUCUGGUCUUGGUCGGAGCCUCUGGAUUAGAGAAGAACGUGCUGGUUGAGAGAAGCAGGAUCUUGAAGAAGAAAAGUACUGCCCCAGACUGAUGUGUGGUUUGACACAAGUCGGGGCCACCCCAGGCUGGGGGGCUCCGGGGGUCCCAGGAGGUGGGCAGGGAGUCAACGGAGAAGGAAGCCCAGCAUCACCAGACCCAGUGCUUCUGUGGGUGCCGGUCCUUUCACCUCCUGCCAAGCCCAGAUCGGGGUUGGGGGGAAGCCUCUAGUGCACACUCUCCUUGCUAGGGCUUCAAACAUCAACCGUUCACUAUGUCCUCCACACCCAAGGGCUGGCUGGGGGUCACCCCGUUGAACCUCAAGUCAAAGAUACAGGGCAGCUGAGCAACUGGAGCCAGCGAUGCAAGUCAGCACCAACUGAAACCCUGUUUUGCCAGAGCCUUCCUGCACCAUCCUUGCAUUCGACCCUCUGCAGAGACUUGGUGUAAUCAGAUUCUAUAGAAAGAAAACAAACAGAAGAAUGGCUAGUAUGUGAAGGAACAUGAAUCCAUUCGUUUGAUAAUAGAUAUUAUUAUGUUCAUGGCGAGCAAACUUAAAUAUGCCCAAGUUAAUGUAUAUUCAUUUCAAGCAAAUGUUAAUUAAACAAACUACUGUGUAAUUUUGGGGUUGUUAAAUGGUUGUCUACCAAGCUGAGACAGACUUGAAGUCCAGAAGUGACAGAACUUUGUAUUAUUUACCUUAUGUGUUCAGGGAAUACGUCCCCCAUCUGACUUGUGUGUUUCAUUGUUGAUAGAAGUAUCUGUCUAGCUAACUGAAUAAUUUCUUACUAAUAUUGAGCAUUCAUUUGUAAUUCCAAUAAAAGUCAGAAAACCUGAC
Long non-coding RNA from Bos taurus (domestic cattle), 1153 nucleotides. Lineage: Eukaryota; Metazoa; Chordata; Mammalia; Artiodactyla; Bovidae. The record is from Ensembl.